Molecule: ribosomal RNA, 478 nt
Filed under: uncultured bacterium
Lineage: Bacteria
Description: bacterial SSU rRNA
Rfam family: Bacterial small subunit ribosomal RNA
Source: RNAcentral
ACUCCUACGGGAGGCAGCAGUGGGGAAUAUUGCACAAUGGGCGCAAGCCUGAUGCAGCCAUGCCGCGUGUAUGAAGAAGGCCUUCGGGUUGUAAAGUACUUUCAGCAGUGAGGAAGGUGGAGUUCAGUUAAUAGCGCUUCAUUUUGACGUUUAGCUGCAGAAGAAGCACCGGCUAACUCCGUGCCAGCAGCCGCGGUAAUACGGAGGGUGCGAGCGUUAAUCGGAAUUACUGGGCGUAAAGCGCAUGCAGGUGGUUUGUUAAGUCAGAUGUGAAAGCCCGGGGCUCAACCUCGGAAUUGCAUUUGAAACUGGCAAGACUAGAGUACUGUAGAGGGGGGUAGAAUUUCAGGUGUAGCGGUGAAAUGCGUAGAGAUCUGAAGGAAUACCGGUGGCGAAGGCGGCCCCCUGGACAGAUACUGACACUCAGAUGCGAAAGCGUGGGGAGCAAACAGGAUUAGAUACCCUGGUAGGAUAGCGU